RNAcentral lists this ribosomal RNA (589 nucleotides) under Psychrobacter sp. RNAcentral's name for it is "bacterial SSU rRNA". It matches the Rfam family "Bacterial small subunit ribosomal RNA", at positions 732 to 1320 of the family's 1533-position model. Lineage: Bacteria; Pseudomonadati; Pseudomonadota; Gammaproteobacteria; Moraxellales; Moraxellaceae. The record is from RNAcentral.
GCAUCAUACUGACACUGAGGCUCGAAAGCGUGGGUAGCAAACAGGAUUAGAUACCCUGGUAGUCCACGCCGUAAACGAUGUCUACUAGUCGUUGGGUCCCUUGAGGACUUAGUGACGCAGCUAACGCAAUAAGUAGACCGCCUGGGGAGUACGGCCGCAAGGUUAAAACUCAAAUGAAUUGACGGGGGCCCGCACAAGCGGUGGAGCAUGUGGUUUAAUUCGAUGCAACGCGAAGAACCUUACCUGGUCUUGACAUAUCUAGAAUCCUGCAGAGAUGCGGGAGUGCCUUCGGGAAUUAGAAUACAGGUGCUGCAUGGCUGUCGUCAGCUCGUGUCGUGAGAUGUUGGGUUAAGUCCCGCAACGAGCGCAACCCUUGUCCUUAGUUACCAGCGGGUUAAGCCGGGAACUCUAAGGAUACUGCCAGUGACAAACUGGAGGAAGGCGGGGACGACGUCAAGUCAUCAUGGCCCUUACGACCAGGGCUACACACGUGCUACAAUGGUAGGUACAGAGGGCAGCUACACAGCGAUGUGAUGCGAAUCUCAAAAAGCCUAUCGUAGUCCAGAUUGGAGUCUGCAACUCGACUCCA